RNAcentral lists this ribosomal RNA (490 nucleotides) under uncultured bacterium. Its description in RNAcentral is "partial 16S ribosomal RNA". It matches the Rfam family "Bacterial small subunit ribosomal RNA", at positions 28 to 507 of the family's 1533-position model. The record is from RNAcentral.
GAUGAACGCUAGCUACAGGCUUAACACAUGCAAGUCGCGGGGCAGCAUGGGGGUUGCUUGCAAUCCCCGAUGGCGACCGGCGCACGGGUGAGUAACGCGUAUCCAACCUGCCCUUCACCACGGGAUAACCCGGCGAAAGUCGGACUAAUACCGUAUGUUGUCCAUUGACGGCAUCCGAUUUGGACGAAAGGCUUGGCGGUGAGGGAUGGGGAUGCGUCCGAUUAGCCAGACGGCGGGGUAACGGCCCACCGUGGCUACGAUCGGUAGGGGUUCUGAGAGGAAGGUCCCCCACACUGGAACUGAGACACGGUCCAGACUCCUACGGGAGGCAGCAGUGAGGAAUAUUGGUCAAUGGGCGUAAGCCUGAACCAGCCAAGUAGCGUGCAGGAUGACGGCCCUAUGGGUUGUAAACUGCUUUUAUGCGGGGAUAAAGUGGCCCACGUGUGGGCUUUUGCAGGUACCGCAUGAAUGAGGACCGGCUAAUUCCGUG